CCUACGGGAGGCAGCAGUGGGGAAUAUUGCGCAAUGGGCGAAAGCCUGACGCAGCGACGCCGCGUGAGGGAUGAAGGUCUUCGGAUCGUAAACCUCUGUCAGCAGGGAAGAAAGGUCACUGUGCUAAUCAGCAGUGAAUUGACGGUACCUGCAAAGGAAGCACCGGCUAACUCCGUGCCAGCAGCCGCGGUAAUACGGAGGGUGCGAGCGUUAAUCGGAAUUACUGGGCGUAAAGCGCGCGUAGGCGGUAUGUCAAGUCAAGGGUGAAAUCCCCGCGCUCAACGUGGGAACUGCCUUUGAAACUGGCAAGCUGGAGUGUGGGAGAGGAUAGUGGAAUUCCAGGUGUAGCAGUGAAAUCCGUAGAUAUCUGGAGGAACACCGGUGGCGAAGGCGACUAUCUGGCACAUAACUGACGCUGAGGAGCGAAAGCGUGGGGAGCAAACAGGAUUAGAUACCCCUGUAGUC
Molecule: ribosomal RNA, 465 nt
Filed under: uncultured bacterium
Lineage: Bacteria
Description: partial 16S ribosomal RNA
Rfam family: Bacterial small subunit ribosomal RNA
Source: RNAcentral